This 788-nucleotide ribosomal RNA is filed under the name uncultured Bacillota bacterium. Its description in RNAcentral is "bacterial SSU rRNA". It matches the Rfam family "Bacterial small subunit ribosomal RNA", at positions 556 to 1347 of the family's 1533-position model. The record is from RNAcentral. Lineage: Bacteria; Bacillati; Bacillota.
GGGUGUAAAGGGUGCGCAGGCGGGACUGCAAGUUGGAUGUGAAAAUCCGAGGCUCAACCUCGGAACUGCAUCCAAAACUGUGGUUCUUGAGUGGAGCAGAGGUAAGCGGAAUUCCGAGUGUAGCGGUGAAAUGCGUAGAUAUUCGGAGGAACACCAGUGGCGAAGGCGGCUUACUGGGCUCUAACUGACGCUGAGGCACGAAAGUGUGGGUAGCAAACAGGAUUAGAUACCCUGGUAGUCCACACUGUAAACGAUGAAUGCUAGGUGUAGGAGGACUGACCCCUUCUGUGCCGGAGUUAACACAUUAAGCAUUCCACCUGGGGAGUACGACCGCAAGGUUGAAACUCAAAGGAAUUGACGGGGGCCCGCACAAGCAGUGGAGUAUGUGGUUUAAUUCGAAGCAACGCGAAGAACCUUACCAGGUCUUGACAUCCAACUAACGAAGUAGAGAUACAUUAGGUGCCCUUCGGGGAAAGUUGAGACAGGUGGUGCAUGGUUGUCGUCAGCUCGUGUCGUGAGAUGUUGGGUUAAGUCCCGCAACGAGCGCAACCCCUGCCGAUAGUUGCUACGCAAGAGCACUCUAUCGGGACCGCUACCGACAAGGUGGAGGAAGGUGGGGACGACGUCAAAUCAUCAUGCCCUUUAUGACCUGGGCUACACACGUACUACAAUGGCCGUUAACAGAGGGAAGCAAUAUCGCGAGAUGGAGCAAAACCCUAAAAACGGUCCCAGUUCAGAUUGCAGGCUGCAACUCGCCUGUAUGAAGUUGGAAUUGCUAGUAAUCGCGG